CCUACGGGUGGCAGCAGUGAGGAAUAUUGGUCAAUGGGCACGAGCCUGAACCAGCCAAGUAGCGUGAAGGAUGACUGCCCUACGGGUUGUAAACUUCUUUUAUAAAGGAAUAAAGUGAGGCACGUGUGCCUUGUUGUAUGUACUUUAUGAAUAAGGAUCGGCUAACUCCGUGCCAGCAGCCGCGGUAAUACGGAGGAUCCGAGCGUUAUCCGGAGUUAUUGGGUUUAAAGGGAGCGUAGAUGGGUUGUUAAGUCAGUGGUGAAAGUUGGCGGCUCAACCGUAAAAUUGCAAUUGAUACUGGCAGUCUUUCGUACAGUUGCGGUAGGCUGCUUUCGUGUUGUCGCCG
RNAcentral lists this ribosomal RNA (346 nucleotides) under uncultured bacterium. RNAcentral's name for it is "partial 16S ribosomal RNA". It matches the Rfam family "Bacterial small subunit ribosomal RNA", at positions 338 to 681 of the family's 1533-position model. The record is from RNAcentral.